Long non-coding RNA from Dreissena polymorpha, 334 nucleotides. RefSeq lists it as uncharacterized. The transcript is spliced from 3 exons. Lineage: Eukaryota; Metazoa; Mollusca; Bivalvia; Myida; Dreissenidae. The record is from RefSeq and is a predicted model, not a curated record.
CGUCAAUCAACUUGCUUAUAUUAAUGAGGUGUAGCGUCAAUCAACUUGCUUAUAUUAAUGAGGUGUAGCGUCAAUCAACUUGCUUAUAUUAAUGAGGUGUAGCGUCAAUCAACUUGCUUAUAUUAAUGAGGUGUAGCGUCAAUCAACUUGCUUAUAUUAAUGAGGUGUAGCGUCAAUCAACUUGCUUAUAUUAAUGAGGUGUAGCGUCAAUCAACUUGCUUAUAUUAAUGAGGUGUAGCGUCAAUCAACUUGCUUAUAUUAAUGAGGUGGUAUUCAGUUGUAUGUCACUAGACUGUCGGUCUGAUAUCAACAUCAGAAAACUAACUGAAAUUCU